This 470-nucleotide ribosomal RNA is filed under the name uncultured microorganism. RNAcentral's name for it is "bacterial SSU rRNA". It matches the Rfam family "Bacterial small subunit ribosomal RNA", at positions 9 to 524 of the family's 1533-position model. The record is from RNAcentral.
GAGUUUGAUCGUGGCUCAGAGCGAACGCUGGCGGCAGGCUUAACACAUGCAAGUCGAGCGGGCGUAGCAAUACGUCAGCGGCAGACGGGUGAGUAACACGUGGGAACGUACCUUUUGGUUCGGAACAACUGAGGGAAACUUCAGCUAAUACCGGAUAAGCCCUAACGGGGAAAGAUUUAUCGCCGAAAGAUCGGCCCGCGUCUGAUUAGCUAGUUGGUGAGGUAAUGGCUCACCAAGGCGACGAUCAGUAGCUGGUCUGAGAGGAUGAUCAGCCACACUGGGACUGAGACACGGCCCAGACUCCUACGGGAGGCAGCAGUGGGGAAUAUUGGACAAUGGGGGCAACCCUGAUCCAGCCAUGCCGCGUGAGUGAUGAAGGCCCUAGGGUUGUAAAGCUCUUUGUGCGGGAAGAUAAUGACGGUACCGCAAGAAUAAGCCCCGGCUAACUUCGUGCCAGCAGCCGCCGUAAC